Molecule: ribosomal RNA, 406 nt
Filed under: uncultured bacterium
Lineage: Bacteria
Description: partial 16S ribosomal RNA
Rfam family: Bacterial small subunit ribosomal RNA
Source: RNAcentral
AUUGAACGCUGGCGGCAGGCCUAACACAUGCAAGUCGAACGAGUGGCGGACGGGUGAGUAAUGUCUGGGAAACUGCCUGAUGGAGGGGGAUAACUACUGGAAACGGUAGCUAAUACCGCAUACCAUCGGAUGUGCCCAGAUGGGCUUAGCUAGUAGUUGGGGUAACGGCUCACCUAGGCCACGAUCCCUAGCUGGUCUGAGAGGAUGACCAGCAAAACUGGAACGGAGACACGGUCCAGAAUCCUACGGGAGGCAGCAGUGGGGAAUAUUGGACAAUGGGCGAAAGCCUGAUCCAGCCAUGCCGCGGGUGUGAAGAAGGUCUUCGGAGUGUAAAGUACUUUCAGCGGGGAGGCUUUACCCGCAGAAGAAGCACCGGCUAACUCCGUGCCAGCAGCGGCGGUAAUUC